CAUGAGACGCAAGUAACCUGAUUGGUGGGAUGGCUUAUGCCUGCACCAUCGACCGACCAUGAUCUUCUGUGAAAGGUUUGAGUACGAGCAUACCUGUUGGGACCCGAAAGAUGGUGAACUAUGCCUGAGCAGGGCGAAGCCAGAGGAAACUCUGGUGGAGGCUCGUAGAUGUGCUGACGUGCAAAUCGCUUUUCGGACUUGGGUAUAGGGGCGAAAGACUACUAGUAGCUGGUUCCCUCCGAAGUUUCCCCCAGGAUAGCUGGAGCUUGAUCAGUUUUAUCGGGUAAAGCGAAUGAUUAGAGGUACCGGGGAUGAAACAUCCUCGACCUAUUCUCAAACUUUAAAUAGGUAAGACGUCUGGGUUGCUUAAUUGAACCCAGGCACUCAAUGAGAGCUCCAAGUGGGCCAU
Molecule: ribosomal RNA, 409 nt
Filed under: Trebouxia arboricola
Lineage: Eukaryota; Viridiplantae; Chlorophyta; Trebouxiophyceae; Trebouxiales; Trebouxiaceae
Description: eukaryotic LSU rRNA
Rfam family: Eukaryotic large subunit ribosomal RNA
Source: RNAcentral